This 513-nucleotide ribosomal RNA is filed under the name uncultured bacterium. RNAcentral describes it as "bacterial SSU rRNA". It matches the Rfam family "Bacterial small subunit ribosomal RNA", at positions 28 to 521 of the family's 1533-position model. The record is from RNAcentral.
GAUGAACGCUAGCUACAGGCUUAACGCAUGCAAGUCGAGGGGCGAUCAGGAAGAAAGCUUGCUUUCUUUGCUGGCGACCGGCGCACGGGUGAGUAAACACGUAUCCAACCUGCCCUUUACUUCGGGGAGUAGCCUUUCGUAAAGAAAGAUUAAUACCCGAUGGGAUAAUUAUUCCGCAUGGUUUCUAUUAUUAAAGGAUUCCGGUAAAGGAUGGGGAGUGCGUUCCAUUAGGUUGUUGGUGAGGUAACGGCUCACCAAGCCUUCGAUGGAUAGGGGUUCGUGAGAGGAAGGUCCCCCACAUUGGAACUGAGACACGGUCCAAACUCCUACGGGAGGCAGCAGUGAGGAAUAUUGGUCAAUGGGCGCUAGCCUGAACCAGCCAAGUAGCGUGAAGGAUGAAGGCUCUAUGGGUCGUAAAACUUCUUUUAUAUAAGAAUAAAGUGCAGUAUGUAUACUGUUUUGUAUGUAUUAUAUGAAUAAGGAUCGGCUAAACUCCGUGCCAGCAGCCGCGGU